RNAcentral lists this ribosomal RNA (406 nucleotides) under uncultured bacterium. RNAcentral describes it as "partial 16S ribosomal RNA". It matches the Rfam family "Bacterial small subunit ribosomal RNA", at positions 30 to 526 of the family's 1533-position model. The record is from RNAcentral.
AUUGAACGCUGGCGGCAGGCCUAACACAUGCAAGUCGAACGAGUGGCGGACGGGUGAGUAAUGUCUGGACACCUGCCCGAUGGAGGGGGAUAACUGCUGGAAACGGUAGCUAAUACCGCAUACCAUCGGAUGUGCCCAGAUGGGAUUAGCUAGUCGGUGGGGUAACGGCUCACCUAGGCGACGAUCCCUAGCUGGUCUGAGAGGAUGACCAGCCACACUGGAACUGAGACACGGUCCAGACUCCUACGGGAGGCAGCAGUGGGGAAUAUUGCACAAUGGGCGAAAGCCUGAUGCAGCCAUGCCGCGUGUAUGAAGAAGGUUUUCGGGUUGUAAAGCACUGUCAUCGAGGAGGCGUUACUCGCAGAAGAAGCAACGGCUAACUCCGUGCCAGCAGCCGCGGUAAUUC